AAAAAAAUAAAAAAAAAAUCAUGUCUACAGAUCUACAAUUUCCACAAGAUCUCUUUGAAAUGAAUUCACCAAAUAUCAAUUCUUCUCAAAGAUGUAUCAACAGCAAUAUUAAUAUUAUUAUCAGUAAUAAAGAUGAUUGCAAAACCCCAAAAUCUUCACCUUUUUUAAUCCCAAAAAUCCUCAAAUGCCCAGCUGCACCUAAAAAACCCAGAAGGGUAAUUUCGUCCUGUAAGAGAAAAUUACAAUUUGUUGAAAUUGUUGCUAGUAAAGAAGUUGAAUCAUUUUUCAAAAUCCUCGAUGAUGAUGUCGUUGCUUCGUCUUCGAAAAAGAUAUGAGGUGCUCGAAAAUAAUCAAAUCAAAUCGAUUCAUUCGAGUGUACGAGAAUGAUUAAAGUUAGUUCUAUUUGAAGAUCGACGAUAAGUCGUGGAAGGUCACGUGCUUUAAGAUUUGAUGUUUUCACCAGAAAUCUGAUAAAAAUUAUACGAUCGAUCUUCAUAGAGUACUUAAUUUGUAAGAUACAUAAGUCUUAUUUUUAUUUAAUAAUAUAUAUAUUAUAUAGUUUUUAUACAAUUGAGAUCUGAAUUCUGAAUUAUCUAUGUAGAUUUG
Molecule: unclassified non-coding RNA, 606 nt
Filed under: Hevea brasiliensis (rubber tree)
Lineage: Eukaryota; Viridiplantae; Streptophyta; Magnoliopsida; Malpighiales; Euphorbiaceae
Source: RNAcentral